This 221-nucleotide long non-coding RNA is filed under the name Elaeis guineensis (African oil palm). RNAcentral describes it as "long non-coding RNA (EGUI_LNC029976)". The record is from RNAcentral. Lineage: Eukaryota; Viridiplantae; Streptophyta; Magnoliopsida; Arecales; Arecaceae.
ACGCACAGACUGACCUCGAUCGACCAUCCACAGUCCAACGGAGAAAUCGAAGUAACCAACCAAACCAUUCUGCAUGGGUUGAAGACUCGACUGAAUGAAGCCAGAGGCCUCUGGGUCGAAGAGUUGCAUUCGAUCCUGUGGGCAUACCGAACGACGCCCCGGGCCCCGACCGGAGAAUCUCCUUUUAACGUGGUCUAUGGGAUGGAGGAAAUAAUCCCACU